RNAcentral lists this transfer RNA (63 nucleotides) under Frankliniella intonsa. RNAcentral's name for it is "tRNA-Asn". The record is from RNAcentral. Lineage: Eukaryota; Metazoa; Arthropoda; Insecta; Thysanoptera; Thripidae.
UAGUUAAAGCCAAAAUAGAGGCCUGCUACUGUUAAUAGUAUUAAUGAGUUAAACUCUAACUAU